RNAcentral lists this long non-coding RNA (701 nucleotides) under Equus asinus (donkey). RNAcentral describes it as "lncRNA (ENSEASG00005008292.2)". Lineage: Eukaryota; Metazoa; Chordata; Mammalia; Perissodactyla; Equidae. The record is from RNAcentral.
CGCGCAGGAAUUGGGCGCCUGCUGUUUGCCGGGAGUGCGGCCGAUCGCAGGACCCCUGAGAUCUCCCCGAGGAGGUACCUUUCUUCAUUCGCAGCUCUGCGGACUCAGGCCUGGGCCAUUCUCCUGGAGGUGCAUGCCGGGACCCAGCAAUGGCCACCAGGACCCUGACGGCCGAGGACCAGUUUUCCAACAGAUGGCGGUAAAGAGUUGUGUGAAAACGGAGCCUUGUUCUCCUUUCUACCAAGACUUCUGACAGAAGGUGCCCCUCCACCGUGUCAAAUUGGCCCUUGCGGGAAUCAGUGACUUUCAAGGACGUGGCCGUGGACUUCACCCUGGAGGAGUGGGGCUGGCUGGGGCCUGGCCAGAGGGAGCUGUACCGGGACGUGAUGCUGGAGACCUACCAGAACCUUCUCUCACGGGGUGACGCCCCGCCCCCUGCCCUCAUCUCUGUUGUGCCCACCCGCUGCUGGACGGUGGGCCUUCCCUGGGGGUCCCCGUGGUGCCCUCUCUGCUCCUCUCGCCGGUCCCUCCCGAGUGGCCUCUGUCUGUGUCUCUGUCUCAGCGUCCCUGAGCCCCGAGUCCCCUGCUCGUCCCCACCAUCUUCCACCUGUGACCCCGCCCUCUUCUCAGGCUCCAAGAGCCCCCGAUGUACCCAGUCAACAGGCUCCAUGUUGGAAUCUUCUCCCCAAAGCGCAUACAUG